Molecule: long non-coding RNA, 2367 nt
Organism: Apodemus sylvaticus (European woodmouse)
Lineage: Eukaryota; Metazoa; Chordata; Mammalia; Rodentia; Muridae
Exons: 4
Source: RefSeq, a predicted model, not a curated record
CCUGUGUUACACUGAUAACACUCACUAAGGAAGAGACAGCCGCGAGCUGGUCUGCAAGGACAGCGGAGGCAGGCAGCGGAGCGGUGCCGGCCUGAAGGCUUGAGGGAGCUGGGGGUGGCAGUUAGAUGGCCAAAGAGGGCCUGUGUUCCGGCUUCAGGGCUGAAGAGGUCCUGGCAGCCUCCUGGGCCGUGCCAACAAUCCGUGCCUGGCUUCCCACCUCUAUUCCAGGCUUCUACAAAGCUCAGCUGGGCUCUCAAGUGUCCCAGUUUGUCACCAGUGCCAAGUUUCCAAGCUCAGAGAAGACACGGCAACUGCCAUUUAAUUGCUGAAGAAGCUUGGGAGGCCUGCGAGCCUCUCCUAGCAGUGUCCAUGGUGGGGAGGUGAUGCUGGACCCCGCCCUUCUCCAAGCCCUCUGGGUCCGGAGUGAAGGCUCACAUCAGGGCUGCAGAUGCAGUCCCAGCAGAGAGAUGUAUCCUGAGUUGUCACCACUGAGGCACAGGAUAUCUGUCAACUAAAGACAUAGCUAAACAAUUUAAGAGGCCAGGGCAGGAUUUAAAAAAAAAAAAAAGGAAACCAGAGACAAGAAAGCUGAGAAGUGAUAAGACCUACCUGGUCACGUCAGACCCUGCAGGUGUGCAGGUGCCACCCGGGUUCCAGAGCUACCUCAGUACAGGGCGGCUGUGAUGCGGAUGACCAAGGUCGAGGGUCCUGGUAAGGAAAGUCUGCACGGAGACGGUAAGAUUGCCGUAACUGCAGCUGCUUCUGCCUGCCUGCUGUUCCUGCCUGCAGCUGCCAGAGGCUGAGGGGAAUGAAAACCGGGACUGAUGAUGGAGGACCCUGAGCUCCUGUAUCUCCCAAGAGUGAGAUUACUGCACCCACUACCAGCACAGACUUUGUGGAGAUCUGUGGAGUCCUCUCAUCAACUUUCUCCAUCCGAAUGUGUGAGCUCUAAAGUCUACACCUGUGUCAGAAUCAUCCGAGCUGCGGCCCCCAGCAGCCCGGGGAGCACAGUUUCUACUUCUCAAGGCCUUGAGUUGGGCACAGAGAGUAAGCCCAUGACCAACAAAGCAGGAGCACGCAGCAGGCAGGCAUAUGGCGCUGGAACAAGAGGGCGAGAGACAGCGAGAGAGAGCGGGAGAGCGAGCGAGCGAAGAGACAGAGAGACAGAGAGAAACACAACACAUGCGCAAGCUUUCUGAUCCUUACCCAUCCAUGACGGAAUGCUGAUGGGCCCAAUCUUCUGCAGGUCUUACUUACUUACGUCUUCUCAGUUGCUGAGAGAUUAGGAGUUCAGUGGUCGCGUCCUGCCCGGGAGACGGUGUUCUACAGCGCUUCUCACCGCCUUGCUCUCAUCUUUCCAUGUCUUCCGGUGCUCCCUGAGCCUUGGGAGGUGUUGACAUGGACGGCCACCGCCACCCACAGCAAGAGGCCUUUUCUCUGACAAGUCCGGAAAGCAGCACUAUUCUAUGGGCAUGAACAUAAACAUUUAGAAGGGAAUUUGAUGCCACAUUAGGACCAGUUACUAAAACAGCAAUAGCAUCCCCACUAAGCGCGCCCCACACUCCACUCCCCCACCACCCCUGCCGCCAUGUAAGGGCUCUUGGCCACAUUUAUUGUACCAGAUUUGUACUCUCUUUUUUAGGACCGGCCUCAAAUCUAAUGAAGAAGCAGUUGGCUAACCCCAUAACUGUCUUGCCACUACUGUGCCCAUCGGCAUCUUGCCUGGCAGGCGGGCACUAUAAUAUAUAGGAUUCAAAGUUAAAGCUCAUCUGUAUUUAUUUAUUUAUUUAUUUAUUUUGGUUUUUUUGAGACAGGGUUUCUCUGUGUAGCCCUGGCAGUCCUGGAGCUCACUCUGUAGACCAGGCUGGCCUCAAACUCAGAAAUCCGUCUGCCUCUGCCUCCCAGAGUGCUGGGAUUAAAGGCGAGCACCACCACCCACCUGACUUUAUUUCUGGUUUUUCGAGACAGCGUUUCUCUGUAUAGCCCUGGCUGUCCUGGAAGACUCUGUGGACCACUCUGUAGACUGUUUUUCUGUUUUCUGUGUAGCCCUGGCUGUCCUGGCUCUGUAGACCAGGCUGGCCUCAAACUCAUAGAGAUCCAUCUGCCUCUGCCUGUAGAUACCCAAGGCCUGCAAAGCUUGUGACGCCAUACAAGCGACAAUUAAGACAAUGUAUAGGUCUGUUGCCAAGGCAACAGUUGCUGUUUACCCAGAAUUCCAGAGCCUACCUUUACCUGUAAUUAAAUCACCACCGGUAUAUAACCGGGCAGCGCUUCUUCCCUGGUCUCUUUUUCUCUUCUCUCUUUCUCUCCUUCCUUCCUGCCUGCUACCCCUUCCCUAUCUUAAAUAAAGUCCCACGUUGAACUGUU